Molecule: ribosomal RNA, 470 nt
Filed under: uncultured bacterium
Lineage: Bacteria
Description: partial 16S ribosomal RNA
Rfam family: Bacterial small subunit ribosomal RNA
Source: RNAcentral
GACGAACGCUGGCGGCGUGCUUAACACAUGCCAGUCGAACGCUGAAGCACCAGCUUGCUGGUGUGGAUGAGUGGCGAACGGGUGAGUAAUACGUGAGUAACCUGCCCUUGACUCUGGGAUAAGCCCGGGAAACUGGGUCUAAUACUGGAUGCUACAUGUCACCGCAUGGUGGUGUGUGGAAAGGGUUUACUGGUCUUGGAUGGGCUCACGGCCUAUCAGCUUGUUGGUGAGGUAAUGGCUCACCAAGGCGACGACGGGUAGCCGGCCUGAGAGGGUGACCGGCCACACUGGGACUGAGACACGGCCCAGACUCCUACGGGAGGCAGCAGUGGGGAAUAUUGCACAAUGGGCGAAAGCCUGAUGCAGCGGCGCCGCGUGAGGGAUGACGGCCUUCGGGUUGUAAACCUCUUUCAGCAGGGAAGAAGCCACAAGUGACGGUACCUGCAGAAGAAGCGCCGGCUAACUACGUG